UACGUAGGCAGCGAGCGUUGUUCGGAGUUACUGGGCGUAAAGGGUGCGCAGGCGGUGGAGCAAGUCUGUUGUGAAAUCUCCCGGCUUAACCGGGAGGGUGCGGCGGAAACUGUUCUGCUGGAGUGAGGGAGAGGCAAGCGGAAUUCCUGGUGUAGUGGUGGAAUGCGUAGAUAUCAGGAGGAACACCAGUGGCGAAGGCGGCUCUCUGGACCGGUGCUGACGCUCAGGCGCGAAAGCGUGGGGAGCGAUCAGG
RNAcentral lists this ribosomal RNA (253 nucleotides) under uncultured bacterium. RNAcentral's name for it is "partial 16S ribosomal RNA". It matches the Rfam family "Bacterial small subunit ribosomal RNA", at positions 524 to 776 of the family's 1533-position model. The record is from RNAcentral.